Long non-coding RNA from Aedes aegypti (yellow fever mosquito), 699 nucleotides. RefSeq lists it as uncharacterized. Lineage: Eukaryota; Metazoa; Arthropoda; Insecta; Diptera; Culicidae. The transcript is spliced from 2 exons. The record is from RefSeq and is a predicted model, not a curated record.
UAUUAUAGAAGGAAAAUUGUUAUGAGGAUGAAGGAUAGUUUUAAUUUUAAAAGAUACUCACCACAAAUCUACUGGUAUGCCACCAGUGAUGCCUAGGCGGGUAAGCUGAGCUCCGGGUUGAGAGCGUUUUAGUUCCUCCGGGGGCCAGUGGGUUCCUUGCAGCACUUCCAGCGAUCGCCUGAUCACUACACUACACUAAUGGUGAUAAGCUCCAUCGAGGAUGAUACGCCAAUCGAGUAUUAUCCUCGAUUUUGCUAAGCAUCAACCGAUAUUAUCUUUGAUUUUAAUCCCGGUAUUAACUUUAGUGCGCCGAUUUUGGUGCACUAAAGAAAAUCCGAGAUUAACAAAAAUGUGGCUACGUGCUUGAUUUGGAUCACACGCACACUAGUGUACGCAUGAAAACGUCAAAUGGAAAAUAACAACAAAGCAAAACAUUGAGUUGGCUUUUGCAUCGAUGUUUUGUGGCUGUUCCCGAUAGCUUUCCAGCAAUAUUUUGCAGUUAAGGGCAUAUAAACCGGUUGAAUUGAAAAUGUAUCGCCGCGCCGGUAGUGAACCAAAAAUGAACCAGCUUCGGUGCUACAAAUGCUACGAAAUGGAAAGUCCAACCAUGAUUGGGCGUAAAUUCGACGACCACCUCGCUAGUACCCUCCUAUUGGCUCACUACCGUACAAGUACACCCAGCUUCGACUUCUUUUCAAC